RNAcentral lists this ribosomal RNA (421 nucleotides) under Macrobrachium nipponense. Its description in RNAcentral is "partial 16S ribosomal RNA". It matches the Rfam family "Bacterial large subunit ribosomal RNA", at positions 1836 to 2516 of the family's 2925-position model. Lineage: Eukaryota; Metazoa; Arthropoda; Malacostraca; Decapoda; Palaemonidae. The record is from RNAcentral.
UGUAUAAGUUAUAAAGUCUAGCCUGCCCACUGAUUGAUUUAAAGGGCCGCGGUAAUUUGACCGUGCGAAGGUAGCAUAGUCAGUAGUCUUUUAAUUGAAGGCUUGAAUGAAAGGUUGGACGAGGGAUGAGCUGUCUCCUUUAUGUAAUUUGAAUUUAACUUUUGAGUGAAAAGGCUCAAAUUAUUUAGUGGGACGAUAAGACCCUAUAAAACUUUAUAUAAGUUUAAUUUGGCUUACAAUUUGAGUGAAAAGUAGCUUUAUUAGGCUUAUAUUUCGUUGGGGAGAUGUAGAUAUAAUGUGUAACUGUCUGUUUAAUUUAAUAAUUAUAAUUAGUGUGUGAUCCUUCUUUGUGGAUUAAAAGUAUAAGUUACUUUAGGGAUAACAGCGUGAUUUUCUUUGAGAGUUUUUAUCAACAAGAGUA